GAUGAACGCUAGCGGGAGGCUUAAUACAUGCAAGUCGAGGGGUAACGAUGGCUUCGGCCAGGCGACGACCGGCGCACGGGUGAGUAACGCGUACACUACCUACCUUUAACAAAGGGAUAGCCCUGGGAAACUGGGAUUAAUACCUUAUAGUAUUACUUUUUUGAUUUUAGAGUAAUUAAAGCUGAGGCGGUUAGAGAUGGGUGUGCGUUAGAUUAGCUAGUUGGUAAGGUAAUGGCUUACCAAGGCGACGAUCUAUAGGGGGCGUGAGAGCGUGGACCCCCACACGGGUACUGAGACACGGACCCGACUCCUACGGGAGGCAGCAGUAAGGAAUAUUGGACAAUGGGCGCAAGCCUGAUCCAGCCAUCCCGCGUGAAGGAUGACUGCCCUAUGGGUUGUAAACUUCUUUUAUUAGGGAAGAAACCCUUUCAUUUAUGAGAGGCUGACGGUACCUAAAGAAUAAGCACCGGCUAACUCCG
RNAcentral lists this ribosomal RNA (479 nucleotides) under uncultured Saprospiraceae bacterium. Its description in RNAcentral is "bacterial SSU rRNA". It matches the Rfam family "Bacterial small subunit ribosomal RNA", at positions 28 to 505 of the family's 1533-position model. The record is from RNAcentral. Lineage: Bacteria; Pseudomonadati; Bacteroidota; Saprospiria; Saprospirales; Saprospiraceae.